UUGAAAGGGAAACGAUUGAAGUCAGUCGUGCUGGCGCGAAAUCAACCCCUUCAUCGGGAGACCCAUGUUGUGGCGAGCCUCAGAACCGCCACAGCAUGUGUCUCACGAUGAGGGGGAGCACUUUCGUGUCCGCUGGUUAACAUCAAUUUCGAACGUCGUAAAAAGGCUGGAGGGAUGCGGCUCCUUCGGGAGUGUUAUAACCUUUAGCGGAAUGUGGUGUUCGGGAUUGAGGAUUGCAACGAAUACCUUUAGGGCUGUUCCACCUGGCUUCUCUUUGGUAUCCUGGUGACGACAGCUUGCUGACGUUGUUAGGAUUCGCCUUUGAACAGGCUAGAGUGUGAGCAAAUUCGUUAAGGAUGUUGACGUA
RNAcentral lists this ribosomal RNA (367 nucleotides) under uncultured Glomeromycotina. RNAcentral's name for it is "LSU rRNA". Lineage: Eukaryota; Fungi; Glomeromycota. The record is from RNAcentral.